CAAUAAGCGGAGGAAAAGAAACCAACAGGGAUUGCCCUAGUAACGGCGAGUGAAGCGGCAACAGCUCAAAUUUGAAAUCUGGCUACUUUGUAGUCCGAGUUGUAAUUUGUAGAGGAUGCUUUUGGUGAGGUGCUUUCUGAGUUCCCUGGAACGGGACGCCAGAGAGGGUGAGAGCCCCGUACAGUUAGCAACUGAUCCUUUGUAUAGCUCCUUCGACGAGUCGAGUAGUUUGGGAAUGCUGCUCUAAAUGGGAGGUAUAUCUCUUCUAAAGCUAAAUAUAGGCUAGAGACCGAUAGCGCACAAGUAGAGUGAUCGAAAGAUGAAAAGCACUUUGAAAAGAGAGUUAAACAGCACGUGAAAUUGUUGAAAGGGAAGCGCCUAUGACCAGACUUGUUUCUAUCAGUUUUGGUAGUUUUCGGACUGCUUUACUCUGUUAGUACAGGCCAACAUCAGUUUGUUGUCGGGGAGAAAGGCUUAGGGAAUGUGGCUCCCUCGGGAGUGUUAUAGACCUUUGCAUAAUACCCUUCGGCAGACUGAGGACCGCGCUUCGGCAAGGAUGUUGGCGUAAUGG
This 571-nucleotide ribosomal RNA is filed under the name Ambrosiella cleistominuta. RNAcentral describes it as "partial large subunit ribosomal RNA". It matches the Rfam family "Eukaryotic large subunit ribosomal RNA", at positions 44 to 637 of the family's 3401-position model. Lineage: Eukaryota; Fungi; Ascomycota; Sordariomycetes; Microascales; Ceratocystidaceae. The record is from RNAcentral. RNAcentral also lists the same sequence under 1 other name.